GACAGAGGGUGCAAACGUUGCUCGGAAUUACUGGGCGUAAAGCGCGUGUAGGCGGCCCUGCAAGUCGGGUGUGAAAUCCCAUGGCUCAACCAUGGAAGUGCACUCGAAACUGCAGGGCUAGAGUCCUGGAGAGGAAGGUGGAAUGCUUGGUGUAGAGGUGAAAUUCGUAGAUAUCAAGCGGAACACCGGUGGCGAAGGCGGCCUUCUGGACAGUGACUGACGCUGAGACGCGAAAGCGUGGGGAGCAAACAGG
RNAcentral lists this ribosomal RNA (253 nucleotides) under uncultured bacterium. Its description in RNAcentral is "partial 16S ribosomal RNA". It matches the Rfam family "Bacterial small subunit ribosomal RNA", at positions 524 to 776 of the family's 1533-position model. The record is from RNAcentral.